This 253-nucleotide ribosomal RNA is filed under the name uncultured bacterium. RNAcentral's name for it is "partial 16S ribosomal RNA". It matches the Rfam family "Bacterial small subunit ribosomal RNA", at positions 524 to 776 of the family's 1533-position model. The record is from RNAcentral.
UACGAACUGUGCAAACGUUAUUCGGAAUCACUGGGCUUAAAGGGUGCGUAGGCGGCUAUGAAGGUCAGGUGUGAAAUCCCACGGCUCAACCGUGGAACUGCGCCUGAAACCACAUAGCUUGAGGAAGUCAGAGGUAAGCGGAACUGAUGGUGGAACGGUGAAAUGUGUUGAUAUCAUCAGGAACACCGGUGGCGAAAGCGGCUUACUGGGACUUUUCUGACGCUGAGGCACGAAAGCUAGGGGAGCGAACGGG